Molecule: ribosomal RNA, 253 nt
Filed under: uncultured bacterium
Lineage: Bacteria
Description: partial 16S ribosomal RNA
Rfam family: Bacterial small subunit ribosomal RNA
Source: RNAcentral
GACAGAGGGUGCAAACGUUGUUCGGAAUUACUGGGCGUAAAGCGCGUGUAGGCGGCCCUGCAAGUCGGGUGUGAAAUCCCAUGGCUCAACUAUGGUAGUGCACUCGAAACUGCAGGGCUAGAGUCCUGGAGAGGAAGGUGGAAUGCUUGGUGUAGAGGUGAAAUUCGUAGAUAUCAAGCGGAACACCGGUGGCGAAGGCGGCCUUCUGGACAGUGACUGACGCUGAGACGCGAAAGCGUGGGGAGCAAACAGG